Oncorhynchus tshawytscha (Chinook salmon) is the source of this 1627-nucleotide long non-coding RNA. The record is from Ensembl. Lineage: Eukaryota; Metazoa; Chordata; Actinopteri; Salmoniformes; Salmonidae.
AAUGUGGUUAAGGUUAAGGUUGAAAUCAAAUUUAAGAAGAUAAAUGUAGAAAUGGGUGUUUUUGUUGUGUGGUGUGUGUGUGUGUGUGUGUGUGGUGUUGUGGUGUGUGUGUGUGUGUGUGUGUGUGUGUGUGUGUGUGUGUGUGUGUGUGUGUACUUUGUGGCUGUGGUAACUGUGAGCCCGCCCCGCUGUGGACGCUUCUGGAACCGACCACGGUUCAACCGCCUCUGUAGCCUGUUAGCCGACAACAACUACAAACAUUGAAGCUCUGUCGAUCAUAUUUGUGUAGCUACACAAAUAAGAACCCCAGUGAUUUACACACAGUUCUGUUAACGUAUCUACUAUCUCAUUUAAAUGUAAUUGGCUUUUUAUUACAUUUGCAAAUGUGUUACCGAGCCCAGAACUAGGCRAGUCGCUAAUGCUAAGUAGCUAGCUAGCUAACAUCCCUGACAAUGAGCUCACUAAGAUACUCUCCUCCUGCUAAUGAAGAGGAGAUCUGCUGGACGGAGAAAGCAGCUCUGGGGAUGAACAUUGUCAUUAAAGAAGAAGAAGAGGAGGAUAUUACAGUGAUAGGAACGGAAGAAGCUUGUCGAAUUAAAACYGAGGAAGAGGAGGAAGGGAUAGAGGCAGUCACAGUGAAAGAGGAAGAGGGGAUGGAGGUUGUCAUAGUGGAAGAAGAGGUAGAAGCUUUCAGAAUGAAAGAUGAGAUAGAGGAGGAUAUCACAUUGAAAGAAGAAGAACCUUUUGUGGUGAAAGAGGAGGAGACUGAAGAUCCGAUUAACACCAAUCCAAAAACGAGGCCAUAUGCAGUUUCCUGGCCCUCCCAGGGCUCUACAGUGAAGGAGGACAUCAGAAAGAUGCAGGAAGAAUCUAAUGUGACACCCGUGAGUCCCAGACAGUUUGGUGGUGGUGAUGACGAUUCUAUUCACUGCGACAAAGAAUGCGACGUGAAAGACAAGGAUUGGUUUCCUAGCAACAGGCUGAAGGCGGAGUCGGCUCCAGAGAGCCACACCCCAGAGCAGAGGAGGGGACGUCGGAUUUUUGUUUUUGUUCUUUUUUUUAAUAUUUGUAUUUUGUAAGUCGAGUGCCCAGUCACAAAGUGAUUCUGUUCUCAACAUUCCUUCCUUAAUUCCUGGACCUCCUCCUAUAAAUCCAUUGGAGGAGAACAUUUGAGGUUCAUCCAAAUACUGAUAUGUGUGAAUGUUUUUAGGCAUACAGAUGAUUCUGAUUGGACUUUCUCCUCCACAACAUUUAUAGCAGGAGGUCCAGAGAAUAGAGAGGAAUCAGAGGUAGGAGUGUUUCCCACCCUAAAUUGAUUGUUUAUUUUUGUGGUUUCCAGGACAUGUUUUUCCGUCUCCCAGAGUCCCCAGGUCGUGCCUCUCCCAAUGUUGCCUUACUGUGGGUCUGAGAGGUGUCUGUGCGCUUGUCGACUGCAGGAAAACACCGGGUCUGCGUGGAACUGUGAGAGGAGAAGAAGAGGGAGAUUCAGAUCAAGUAAGAACAGUGGUGUGUGGAUGAGCUACAAUCUGCUUCUGUUACAGUUCUGGGUCCGUGUAUUCUACUGUUGUAGAGCAGCUCAUUUCUUUGUGUCAGUGUAUUACUGUUGUAGCAGCUCAUUAGUUCUGUG